UAUCUCUGUAGAGUCUGCAUAUCAAUAAGCGGAGGAAAAGAAACUAACUAGGAUUCCCUCAGUAACGGCGAGUGAAGCGGGAAGAGCUCAAAUUUGAAAUCUUCAAGGUUUCUACCUUGACGAAUUGUAGUUUAAAGAAGUGUUUUCUGUUGGAGUUUUGGUAAAAGUUCUUUGGAAUAGGACAUCAUAGAGGGUGAGAAUCCCGUAUUUGACCAUUACUUUCCAGCUUUGUGAUACACUUUCAAAGAGUCGGAUUGUUUGGGAAUGCAGUCCAAAAUGGGUGGUAAAUUUCAUCUAAAGCUAAAUAUUGGCGAGAGACCGAUAGCGAACAAGUACCGUGAGGGAAAGAUGAAAAGAACUUUGAAAAGAGAGUUAAACAGUACGUGAAAUUGUCAAAAGGGGAGCGUUUGACACCAGUGUUGUUUUUCUGAAAAUCAAUUAAAGAACUGUUUAUGCUAAGCUGUUUAGACUUUAUCAGCUAUCUGUUUAGUUUUGAGCUUUUCUUUAAUGCACUUUUUAGUUAACAAGUCAACAUCAAUUUCUUUUGCUGUAAAAAAGCUUGAGGAAGGUGGCUUGAGAUUCGUCUUAAGUGUUUAUAGCCUCUUGCCUAUGCAGUCGGAGAGAUUGAGGUCUGCAGCGUAGAUCCUUCGGGGCUAAAUGCAUUUGUGCUAAGUUAUAGCAUUUUAUAGACAACCUGUUGACUAUGAUUUGUCUUGUAGCUUACUCGCUUAUGUUAUUUUACCUACGCUUAGGAUGUUGACAUCAGCUGAGCGCG
This 775-nucleotide ribosomal RNA is filed under the name uncultured Neocallimastigales. RNAcentral's name for it is "partial large subunit ribosomal RNA". It matches the Rfam family "Eukaryotic large subunit ribosomal RNA", at positions 24 to 639 of the family's 3401-position model. The record is from RNAcentral. Lineage: Eukaryota; Fungi; Neocallimastigomycota; Neocallimastigomycetes; Neocallimastigales.